Molecule: long non-coding RNA, 325 nt
Organism: Ixodes scapularis (black-legged tick)
Lineage: Eukaryota; Metazoa; Arthropoda; Arachnida; Ixodida; Ixodidae
Exons: 3
Source: RefSeq, a predicted model, not a curated record
CACAGUCCAUUCAUUGCAACGUAGGGUUGAGGGUCUACUGAAGAAGGCUGCGAGCAUAGAGGAUACGAUUCUUGAGGAAAAGAUCAAAGGUCUUCCCCGCAAGCAGCAGAUGUGUGUGAGACACUGCCUUAAGGCCGCUCAACGAAAAUCAACGAAGGGAAUGAUCUAUGCUCAAGAGUGGAUCUUGGAAUGCAUUAUCAUGAGGAUGAAAAGUGCACGCCUGUACAGGCACCUACGUAGAAACAAGAUCCUGCAACUCCCAUCGCCAUCAACUUUACAAAAAUAUGUCAAGGACUAUAAAAGUGGAUUUGGGUUUAACCCGAAC